RNAcentral lists this transfer RNA (73 nucleotides) under Mustela putorius furo (domestic ferret). It matches the Rfam family "tRNA". Rfam says of the family: Transfer RNA (tRNA) molecules are approximately 80 nucleotides in length. Their secondary structure includes four short double-helical elements and three loops (D, anti-codon, and T loops). RNAcentral also lists the same sequence under 1 other name. Lineage: Eukaryota; Metazoa; Chordata; Mammalia; Carnivora; Mustelidae. The record is from Rfam by way of RNAcentral.
GCCUGGAUGGCUCUGUUGGUAGAGCGGGAGAUUCUUGAUCUCUGCAUUGUGGGUUCGAGUCCUGUGUUGGGUG